RNAcentral lists this ribosomal RNA (429 nucleotides) under Gemmatimonadota bacterium. RNAcentral describes it as "Gemmatimonadetes bacterium partial 16S ribosomal RNA". It matches the Rfam family "Bacterial small subunit ribosomal RNA", at positions 355 to 776 of the family's 1533-position model. Lineage: Bacteria; Pseudomonadati; Gemmatimonadota. The record is from RNAcentral.
UAGGGAAUCUUCGGCAAUGGACGAAAGUCUGACCGAGCAACGCCGCGUGAGUGAAGAAGGUUUUCGGAUCGUAAAACUCUGUUGUUAGAGAAGAACAAGGACGUUAGUAACUGAACGUCCCCUGACGGUAUCUAACCAGAAAGCCACGGCUAACUACGUGCCAGCAGCCGCGGUAAGACGUAGGUGGCAAGCGUUGUCCGGAUUUAUUGGGCGUAAAGCGAGCGCAGGCGGUUUCUUAAGUCUGAUGUGAAAGCCCCCGGCUCAACCGGGGAGGGUCAUUGGAAACUGGGAGACUUGAGUGCAGAAGAGGAGAGUGGAAUUCCAUGUGUAGCGGUGAAAUGCGUAGAUAUAUGGAGGAACACUAGUGGCGAAGGCGGCUCUCUGGUCUGUAACUGACGCUGAGGCUCGAAAGCGUGGGGAGCAAACAGG